This 831-nucleotide long non-coding RNA is filed under the name Olea europaea subsp. europaea. Lineage: Eukaryota; Viridiplantae; Streptophyta; Magnoliopsida; Lamiales; Oleaceae. The record is from RNAcentral.
UGAUCCAAAUAUUAUUCCACAUUAAAUCAAACACUUGAUUUCUCAUUCAUAUUCAAUUCUUCCUUGUGUUCUUAAAGUUUUGGAGGAUCGCGCUUAUGCUUUAGAACUAGAUCCUUUACAAUGCUUGAUAUAAUCCUACAAACUGUUUGUCAAAAUCUUUAAACAUCUCAAACAAUCCCGAGAGGAGGCAAAUAUAGUUUGAAAACAGCAAUUACGCAUUCGAGCCUUCAUGUUCGUUAUGUUCUUUUUUUGUUUCAUUUUCUUAAUUAUAUUUUCUGGAAUUUUCUUUUUCAAUUUCCUCAGUUGAUGUAAAUAUUUCCAACAGAACAAGCCAAAGAAAAAUUGGAAGAAAAUAGAAGUAAAAAUUCAACAAAUAAAUGACAGUCUUGGUUUACAGUCAAAAAAGUACACACACCCUUCGAAACUGCAGCUCAUUCUCUCGGAAGAAAUCGAUUCGUGAACUUGAGGCAAAAAAUCAGUACCAGGUCUUUAUAUAGCGAAUAAAUAAAAAUCGAGAGCAUAUAAGUCAUUAAUCUACAAGAAGACACAAUUUAUUAUAAAGAAAUCAACCGAAAAAAUAAUAAAACAGACGAAGCAAAACUCGGAAGAAGGUAGAAGCAAAAACUCGAAGAAGACAGCGUAUAGCAUCGACAGACGUACCUACUACAGACUCCGACUAUGAUCUCUGAUGGUUUAAGGAAGAUCCAAAAGAAGAAGAGAAAUUGCCAAACAAAAGAAGCGAAAAGAACAAUGGUGCUAGGGUUUGAGAGAAAGAAAAAUGACCUAGGAUUUUCACUUUUGUGACCUUUAUACGCUCUAAAAACGGCGCCA